GACGAACGCUGGCGGCGUGCUUAACACAUGCAAGUCGAACGGAAAGGCCCUGCUUUUGUGGGGUGCUCGAGUGGCGAACGGGUGAGUAACACGUGAGUAACCUGCCCUUGACUUUGGGAUAACUUCAGGAAACUGGGGCUAAUACCGGAUAGGAGCUCCUGCUGCAUGGGGGGGGUUGGAAAGUUUCGGCGGUUGGGGCUGGACUCGCGGCUUAUCAGCUUGUUGGUGGGGUAGUGGCUUACCAAGGCUUUGACGGGUAGCCGGCCUGGGAGGGUGACCGGCCACAUUGGGACUGCGAUACGGCCCAGACUCCUACGGGAGGCAGCAGUGGGGAAUAUUGCACAAUGGGCGGAAGCCUGAUGCAGCAACGCCGCGUGCGGGAUGACGGCCUUCGGGUUGUAAACCGCUUUCGCCUGUGACGAAGCGUGAGUGACGGUAAUGGGUAAAGAAGCACCGGCUAACUACGUG
RNAcentral lists this ribosomal RNA (468 nucleotides) under uncultured bacterium. RNAcentral describes it as "partial 16S ribosomal RNA". It matches the Rfam family "Bacterial small subunit ribosomal RNA", at positions 28 to 507 of the family's 1533-position model. The record is from RNAcentral.